Macaca mulatta (Rhesus monkey) is the source of this 231-nucleotide non-coding RNA. The record is from RefSeq and is a predicted model, not a curated record. Lineage: Eukaryota; Metazoa; Chordata; Mammalia; Primates; Cercopithecidae.
AGUCGAUUUUGGAAGUAGAACACGGCAGCCUGGGCUUGAUUGUCAGUUUGGCAGCUACAGUGCAGCUAUGAAUGGUAGCAGUGAAAGCAUACAUCCUGACAAGAAUGGGAAUGCUUCUAACAUUUCACGUUCAAGUAUGUUUCCUGUCAGUUUUAGAAAAUUAAAGUGCCUUUUAAUCUUCGUUUGCUAAAAAUGUUAAUUUGAAAAUAUAAUAAAAUUCAUUUCAGAGGC